UCAACCAGCACCAUGUGCUUUACCCUACAGGACAGUGAAGAGGAAAGGUCAGCCCCACGGCUCAACCAGCACCAUGUGCUUUACCCUACAGGACAGUGAAGAGGAAAGGUCAGCCCCACGGCUCAACCAGCACCAUGUGCUUUACCCUACAGGACAGUGAAGAGGAAAGGUCAGCCCCACGGCUCAACCAGCACCAUGUGCUUUACCCUACAGGACAGUGAAGAGGAAAGGUCAGCCCCACGGCUCAACCAGCACCAUGUGCUUUACCCUACAGGACAGUGAAGAGGAAAGGUCAGCCCCACGGCUCAACCAGCACCAUGUGCUUUACCCUACAGGACAGUGAAGAGGAAAGGUCAGCCCCACGGCUCAACCAGCACCAUGUGCUUUACCCUACAGGACAGUGAAGAGGAAAGGUCAGCCCCACGGCUCAACCAGCACCAUGUGCUUUACCCUACAGGACAGUGAA
Molecule: long non-coding RNA, 466 nt
Organism: Oncorhynchus tshawytscha (Chinook salmon)
Lineage: Eukaryota; Metazoa; Chordata; Actinopteri; Salmoniformes; Salmonidae
Exons: 3
Source: RefSeq, a predicted model, not a curated record